Molecule: ribosomal RNA, 468 nt
Filed under: uncultured bacterium
Lineage: Bacteria
Description: partial 16S ribosomal RNA
Rfam family: Bacterial small subunit ribosomal RNA
Source: RNAcentral
GACGAACGCUGGCGGCGUGCUUAACACAUGCAAGUCGAACGGAAAGGCCCUGCUUUUGUGGGGUGCUCGAGUGGCGAACGGGUGAGUAACACGUGAGUAACCUGCCCUUGACUUUGGGAUAACUUCAGGAAACUGGGGCUAAUACCGGAUAUGAGCUCCUGCUGCAUUGUGGGGGUUGGAAAGUUUCGGCGGUUGGGGAUGGACUCGCGGCUUAUCAGCUUGUUGGUGGGGUAGUGGCUUACCAAGGCUUUGACGGGUAGCCGGCCUGAGAGGGUGACCGGCCACAGUGGGACUGAGAUACGGCCCAGACUCCUACGGGAGGCAGCAGUGGGGAAUAUUGAACAAUGGGCGGAAGCCUGAUGCAGCAACGCCGCGUGCGGGAUGACGGCCUUCGGGUUGUAAACCGCUUUCGCCUGUGACGAAGCGUGAGUGACGGUAAUGGGUAAAGAAGCACCGGCUAACUACGUG